RNAcentral lists this ribosomal RNA (572 nucleotides) under uncultured marine bacterium. RNAcentral's name for it is "bacterial SSU rRNA". It matches the Rfam family "Bacterial small subunit ribosomal RNA", at positions 83 to 689 of the family's 1533-position model. The record is from RNAcentral.
UAGCAAUACUUAGUGGCAGACGGGUGAGUAACAUGUAGCCAUCUGCCCUUUGGCCUGGAAUAACACGAGGAAACUUGUGCUAAUACCGGAUAAGUCUUUACGGAGAAAGCUUUAUGCACCAUUGGAUGAGCCUGCACUUGAUUAGUUUGUUGGUGGGGUAAUGGCCUACCAAGACUGUGAUCAAUAGCUGAUUUGAGAGGAUGAUCAGCCACAUUGGGACUGAGACACGGCCCAAACUCCUACGGGAGGCAGCAGUGGGGAAUCUUGCACAAUGGAGGAAACUCUGAUGCAGCGAUGCCGCGUGAGUGAAGAAGGCCUUUGGGUUGUAAAGCUCUUUCGUCGGGGAAGAAAAUGACUGUACCCGAAUAAGAAGGUCCGGCUAACUUCGUGCCAGCAGCCGCGGUAAUACGAAGGGACCUAGCGUAGUUCGGAAUUACUGGGCUUAAAGAGUUCGUAGGUGGUUGAAAAAGUUAGUGGUGAAAUCCCAGAGCUUAACUCUGGAACUGCCAUUAAAACUUUUCAGCUAGAGUAUGAUAGAGGAAAGCAGAAUUUCUAGUGUAGAGGUGAAAUUC